This 84-nucleotide microRNA precursor is filed under the name Bombyx mori (domestic silkworm). RNAcentral's name for it is "mir-2807 microRNA precursor family". It matches the Rfam family "mir-2807 microRNA precursor family". The record is from Rfam by way of RNAcentral. Lineage: Eukaryota; Metazoa; Arthropoda; Insecta; Lepidoptera; Bombycidae.
UUAACUCAAACUUGUAUGGAGUUGGAACGUUCGCCUACGUUUGCCAUUAGAGACGUGGUCACAACUGCGUACAAAUUUGAGUUA